GCUAAUCUUUUCAUAAUAACCCAAUCAAAACCUUAUAUCAAAUCUUUCUGCUUAUACCUUUAUCAUAUAUCUGAUAGUAUACAAAUAUUGUCAGUGCUGCUAAGAAUAAGGGAUAAAAUAGAACAUACAGCUUGAGACUCAAAAUAACAUCCAGUUGGAACAAAGUUGCCGGAUAAUAUUUUUGACACAAAAGGGUAACAUACUUUUCAGAAUACGUGAUCUAUAUGUUUUGUCCUCAAUGACACUUGUGUGCUUCCAGAUUUUGAUUGCUUGGUAACACUGCUUGGCAUAAUAAGGAGUAGUACUUCCAGAAAAUGCUUAUGAGAGCAGACUGUUUGGGAGAGGAAUGGAGCCUUGAGCUUGAAGACUGAGCGUGAUGGCAAAAGUGACUCACCUCCUAAAGAUACCUGAACUCAGCACAAAAAUCUAAACAAAAUAUUAAACAGCAGCAACGGUAGCAUCCUAUGUUGCUUCUGCUGAGCAGAUGGAUUUGAAAGGAAAUGUGUUUAGCAAAUGCACAGUCCUUAAAUCUUCAUAGGAAAAUGACAGACUUUCCAUAGAGCUGGAAGGAAGGAGACUGCAGUAAGACUAGGUGAGUAUUAAGGAAAUGUAUCAUAUAUUUUUUCCAAUCCUUCUGCUUUUUCAU
RNAcentral lists this long non-coding RNA (646 nucleotides) under Struthio camelus australis. RNAcentral describes it as "lncRNA (ENSSCUG00000005405.1)". The record is from RNAcentral. Lineage: Eukaryota; Metazoa; Chordata; Aves; Struthioniformes; Struthionidae.